GGCAGAGUGAUCAAGUUCAUCUCUUGUUACCCAGAAUAAUUCUCUAUUUAUCUUUUUCUCAAAAUAUGUUUUAAAUAGUGUGUUCUUUUUCUGCUAGAGUGAAAUGCUGCUGGCUCACAGCCUUUGUCCUUCCUUUUGUCAUGCUUAAACUCAGAGGAGCAACAGAGUGACUGAGCAGUGGAUAUUACAUUACAAUCUGAGGUGCGUGGCAGCAGAAAGAAAUGCCUCUACCAGAAAUUUACCACCUUUAAGCAUUUGUUUUUGCCUUCUCUAUCUUCCCAUUUGGUAUUUCAGAGACAUUUUAAAAACAGAAGUGGGGAAAGCUUGAACAGCUCCAGGCAUUGCUCUCAUCUAGCUCACGACAAGCUGCCAGACCAAGGAGCUCUGCACAGCCCUGAUGUGUCUGCAGAUGCUGCUUUUCCAAACUACCCCUGUCCUCAAUUAACAUACAAAAUCAUCAGCAGUAACAACAGGCUUUCCAUACCCAUGACCUGAGCAGUUUUAUGGGUGUUUAGCAGGCACCAGCCCUGUGUCUGCAAUACAGGACUGUUUGCUUCCAGAACUGACUUAAAUAGUUCCCCAAAUGCCUGUUUAUUACAGGAUGUGAGAAUGAUGGGACAUGCAGACAUCUGUGUUAACCUCGCUGUGUUCUCUGUCUGAGUCCUGCCCUAAUUAAAUUUGGGAUCUUGCAAUUUCUCCAUGGACCAGUUUGCAACACAGACAUCAAGUUCUCUCCUGAGAUAAUUAAACUGUUAUAAUCUGUGGGGUACAUUUUCCUGGGCUGCACAGUUUAU
RNAcentral lists this long non-coding RNA (794 nucleotides) under Phasianus colchicus (ring-necked pheasant). RNAcentral describes it as "lncRNA (ENSPCLG00000018970.1)". The record is from RNAcentral. Lineage: Eukaryota; Metazoa; Chordata; Aves; Galliformes; Phasianidae.